AUUGAACGCUGGCGGCAGGCCUAACACAUGCCAGUCGAGCGGAAGAAGGGAGCUUGCUCCUGGAUUCAGCGGCGGACGGGUGAGUAAUGCCUAGGAAUCUGCCUGGUAGUGGGGGAUAACGUCCGGAAACGGGCGCUAAUACCGCAUACGUCCUGUGGGAGAAAGUGGGGGAUCUUCGGACCUCACGCUAUCAGAUGAGCCUAGGUCGGAUUAGCUAGUUGGUGGGGUAAAGGCCUACCAAGGCGACGAUCCGUAACUGGUCUGAGAGGAUGAUCAGUCACACUGGAACUGAGACACGGUCCAGACUCCUACGGGAGGCAGCAGUGGGGAAUAUUGGACAAUGGGCGAAAGCCUGAUCCAGCCAUGCCGCGUGUGUGAAGAAGGUCUUCGGAUUGUAAAGCACUUUAAGUUGGGAGGAAGGGCAGUAAGUUAAUACCUUGCUGUUUUGACGUUACCAACAGAAUAAGCACCGGCUAACUUCGUG
RNAcentral lists this ribosomal RNA (484 nucleotides) under uncultured bacterium. RNAcentral's name for it is "partial 16S ribosomal RNA". It matches the Rfam family "Bacterial small subunit ribosomal RNA", at positions 30 to 507 of the family's 1533-position model. The record is from RNAcentral.